Molecule: ribosomal RNA, 253 nt
Filed under: uncultured bacterium
Lineage: Bacteria
Description: partial 16S ribosomal RNA
Rfam family: Bacterial small subunit ribosomal RNA
Source: RNAcentral
UACGUAGGGUGCAAGCGUUAAUCGGAAUUACUGGGCGUAAAGCGUGCGCAGGCGGUUUUGUAAGUCAGAUGUGAAAUCCCCGGGCUUAACCUGGGAACUGCGUUUGAAACUACAAGGCUAGAGUGUAGCAGAGGGGGGUGGAAUUCCACGUGUAGCAAUGAAAUGCGUAGAGAUGUGGAGGAACACCGAUGGCGAAGGCAGCCCCCUGGGUUAACACUGACGCUCAGGCACGAAAGCGUGGGGAGCAAACAGG